RNAcentral lists this long non-coding RNA (496 nucleotides) under Coturnix japonica (Japanese quail). RNAcentral's name for it is "lncRNA (ENSCJPG00005008354.1)". The record is from RNAcentral. Lineage: Eukaryota; Metazoa; Chordata; Aves; Galliformes; Phasianidae.
AUGGAGAGCAUGAGGACAGCAGGCAGCCACACACUGCAGCCCUGCAGAGCUCGAGGCAGCGCUGAGCAGCACUGUGGUGAGGCAGACCCUGGCUGUGCAGAACUGAAAGAGAAACACGGGAACCAUCUGCACAACCUAAACCAAACUUCCCUCCUGCUGGCUCACAAACUGAAGGCACAUCAGCUCCAGCAGAAGCAGUGGCUGACAGUGCUGAGUGAGAAAGCCAAGCUGGAGCUUUGGGAAAGCCAGAGGUUUUUGAGUGACCUGCUUCAGAAUGACUUAAAGGUGAGCGAUUCCAGUUGAUGUGCUGCUGCUUCUGUAUUAAGCCAAACGUUCUCUGCAUUAUUUUUGUUAUGUUUUGUGAGCUGUGAGGAUGAGUGACACUCCCUACCCUCCAUACUCAGUUAUUGCACUGUCAGUUGUACCCAUCAAGAGUAAUAACUCUUCAGGAGUUAUUAUUGAAAUAAAUAUACGUGUAUCCAAGAGGAUAAGGGCA